Molecule: transfer RNA, 73 nt
Filed under: Ipomoea nil (Japanese morning glory)
Lineage: Eukaryota; Viridiplantae; Streptophyta; Magnoliopsida; Solanales; Convolvulaceae
Rfam family: tRNA
About the family: Transfer RNA (tRNA) molecules are approximately 80 nucleotides in length. Their secondary structure includes four short double-helical elements and three loops (D, anti-codon, and T loops).
Source: Rfam by way of RNAcentral
GCGGGGAUAGUUCUGUUGGGAGAGCGUCAGACUGAAGAUCUGAAGGUCACGUGUUUUAUCCACAUUCACCGCA